UUAGAGGAAGUAAAAGUCGUAACAAGGUUUCCGUAGGUGAACCUGCGGAAGGAUCAUUACUGAGCGUGGGUCCCCCGUUGACCCCCCUUUCCCGGGGGGCCGGGGUUGACCCUAGACCUCCCACCCUUGUCGAUUGUACCGUGUUGCUUCGGCGGGCCCGCCAUUGGCCGCCGGGGGGCUCGCGACUUGUGAGCGCCGCCCCCGGGCCCGUGCCCGCCGGAGACCUCCCUCGAAAUGCUACUGUGGUCAGAAAUGCUGUCUGAGUGGGAAUGAUGUGAGAAAUUGAUCAGUCAAAACUUUCAACAAUGGAUCUCUUGGUUCCGGCAUCGAUGAAGAACGCAGCGAAAUGCGAUAAGUAAUGCGAAUUGCAGAAUUCCGUGAGUCAUCGAAUCUUUGAACGCACAUUGCGCCCCCCGGCUUCCCGGGGGGCAUGCCUGUCCGAGCGUCAUUGCCAUCCCCUCAAGCUCCGCUUGGCUGGUUGGGCCGACGUCCACCCGUGGCUUUGUGCCGGGGGGGACGGGCCCGAAAGGCAGUGGCGGCUCCCGGAGGGUGGUCCCUUGGGGCGGUUGAUACAUGGGUUGUCAUCUUCCACCGCUCCGUUGGCCACGCUCCGGGGGUCCAGUCGAACGAUCGGUCUUCCCCUUUAGGUUGACCUCGGAUCAGGUAGGGAUACCCGCUGAACUUAAGCAUAUCAAUAA
Molecule: ribosomal RNA, 698 nt
Filed under: Elaphomyces granulatus
Lineage: Eukaryota; Fungi; Ascomycota; Eurotiomycetes; Eurotiales; Elaphomycetaceae
Description: eukaryotic LSU rRNA
Rfam family: 5.8S ribosomal RNA (bases 295-448)
Source: RNAcentral